This 403-nucleotide ribosomal RNA is filed under the name uncultured bacterium. RNAcentral describes it as "bacterial SSU rRNA". It matches the Rfam family "Bacterial small subunit ribosomal RNA", at positions 355 to 775 of the family's 1533-position model. The record is from RNAcentral.
UGGGGAAUAUUGCACAAUGGGCGAAAGCCUGAUGCAGCAACGCCGCGCGAGUGAUGAAGGCCUUCGGGUUGUAAAGCUCUGUCUUUUGGGACGAUAAUGACGGUACCAAAGGAGGAAGCCACGGCUAACUACGUGCCAGCAGCCGCGGUAAUACGUAGGUGGCGAGCGUUGUCCGGAUUUACUGGGCGUAAAGGAUGCGUAGGCGGAUAUUUAAGUGAGAUGUGAAAUACCCGGGCUUAACUUGGGUGCUGCAUUUCAAACUGGAUAUCUAGAGUGCAGGAGAGGAGAAUGGAAUUCCUAGUGUAGCGGUGAAAUGCGUAGAGAUUAGGAAGAACACCAGUGGCGAAGGCGAUUCUCUGGACCGUAACUGACGCUGAGGCAUGAAAGCGUGGGUAGCAAACAG